AGUUGGUGGAAUUGUCCAUUGU
Molecule: non-coding RNA, 22 nt
Filed under: Arabidopsis thaliana (thale cress)
Lineage: Eukaryota; Viridiplantae; Streptophyta; Magnoliopsida; Brassicales; Brassicaceae
Source: RNAcentral